CUACCAGACUCCUACGGGAGGCAGCAGUGGGGAAUAUUGGGCAAUGGGCGAAAGCCUGACCCAGCAACGCCGCGUGAAGGAAGAAGGCUUUCGGGUUGUAAACUUCUUUUGACAGGGAAGAGCAGAAGACAGUACCUGUCGAAUAAGCCACGGCUAACUACGUGCCAGCAGCCGCGGUAAUACGUAGGGGGCAAGCGUUAUCCGGAUUUACUGGGUGUAAAGGGAGCGUAGACGGCCAGACAAGUCUGAAGUGAAAAUCCAGCGCUUAACGUUGGAAGUGCUUUGGAAACUGCCGGGCUAGAGUGCAGGAGGGGCAGGCGGAAUUCCGUGUGUAGCGGUGAAAUGCGUAGAUAUACGGAGGAACACCAGUGGCGAAGGCGGAUUGCUGGACAGUAACUGACGCUGAGGCGCGAAAGCGUGGGGAGCAAACAGGAUUAGAUACCCUCGUAUA
Molecule: ribosomal RNA, 451 nt
Filed under: uncultured bacterium
Lineage: Bacteria
Description: bacterial SSU rRNA
Rfam family: Bacterial small subunit ribosomal RNA
Source: RNAcentral